GGGUCAGUAGGUUGGUCGUGCCACCGGUACGUACUGGUCUCACUGAUUCCUCCUUCCUGAGGAACCGUAAUGCCAUUAAUUUGGUGUUGCGGGGAAACAGGACUGUUACUUUGAAAAAAUUAGAGUGUUUAAAGCAAGCUAACGCUUGAAUACAUUAGCAUGAAAUAAUGAAAUAGGACGAUCGAUCCUAUUUUGUUGGUUUCUAGGAUUGACGUA
Molecule: ribosomal RNA, 216 nt
Filed under: Glomeromycotina sp.
Lineage: Eukaryota; Fungi; Glomeromycota
Description: partial small subunit ribosomal RNA
Rfam family: Eukaryotic small subunit ribosomal RNA (bases 40-216)
Source: RNAcentral